UUGAAAAUUCAGCCGUUGAACGUUAAAGAAGGUGUUGGUUCAAUCGGCUUUCAUCCAACGUUAAUUCUUUUUUGUUUGAAGUUUCUUACUCUGUGAAAUACUCAGGAAGCUGAUAAUUUUUCGGAAAUCGCGGUUUUGUCGAAGAAGUUAUGUUUUUUAAUCGUCAAAAUAGGCUUUGGCGAAUUCCUAGUGCAGUACUUCCGUCGGCAAACACGUUACUGCAAAAGCCCUCAUGUUUGCUGUGUUUUUACAGCAUAACAAUGGGAGCAAUAAGAAGGAAUGCGUUGGACAGGACCGCAAAGAUGAAGCAUGUUAUGACCCUGGACAGACCUCCUGACUGACAUCUGAUGCAGUAUGACUUUAAGAUGUGUCACGUUCAGCUCUGUUGUCAGUGAAUGCUGAUCAUUGCAGAAAUCUGUCAUAUUGGAAGUCUCUGUGGAAGUCUAUCUCUCACUGCUUCCAGCCAGCUUGAGUAGGAGAAAGAGUAAUAAUGUAGAAUGACGCUGACGUUCUUUGAGUUCACUCCAGUCUCCAGUAUUUCUCAAGACUUUGAUACAGAUUUCAUCAGAGAACCCAAGAAGCCGCUCAUCUGCUGUUUUGCUGUCAACCUGUAGAUAACUUCAAGUUUUGCCUCAUUUGCACAUGUCUUGGGAAAAGAUUAAUUGUGUUUUUUUUGUUUUGUUUUUUUGUCUAAAUAAAAAAUAAAUUGUUGGAAUAAACACCUGAAACAUA
Long non-coding RNA from Cheilinus undulatus (humphead wrasse), 732 nucleotides. RefSeq lists it as uncharacterized. Lineage: Eukaryota; Metazoa; Chordata; Actinopteri; Labriformes; Labridae. The transcript is spliced from 5 exons. The record is from RefSeq and is a predicted model, not a curated record.